UGGCCCCCAUAGAGCCCUGAUCUCAACAUCAUCGAGUCUGUCUGGGAUUACAUGAAGAGACAGAAGGAUAUGAGCAAGCCUACCUCCACAGAAGAUCUAUGGUUAGUUCUUCAGGAGGUUUG
Long non-coding RNA from Bufo bufo (common toad), 122 nucleotides. RefSeq lists it as uncharacterized. The record is from RefSeq and is a predicted model, not a curated record. NCBI's taxonomy places the organism in Eukaryota, Metazoa, Chordata, Amphibia, Anura, Bufonidae. The transcript has 3 exons.